GUCCUCCCUUAACAAGCAAAGAGGAAAAUCAUCUCUGUUGCGAUGCCAGUGUGACUCGGCAAAGUUGCAUCUAGCGUGCGCGUCUGUCCUGGCUGAGGGGGGCUGAGAGAGGCUUUGCUGCCCUUUUCCCCCUUGAAUACGAGUUUCUCGUGACUUUCCACCACCCUGAACUCACAAUGAUCCGUCAAGGACCUUCUCCUAUUUCCCUCCCAGCACCAUCCUAAUUUCCUCCCUUCAGUGGCUUCUCUCCUCUUCAUGAUCACUUUAUCCCUUCCUGGACCAGAGGAAAUAACGAGAGACAGUGCCUCCUCCGCUGAAAAUCCACAGCCAGGCAUGGACCCCUCCUCACCACCUCCUACUAUGGUACUUAAAGACCUCACCAUGAAAAACUGGAUUGCAUAAAGGACUGCUCCUGGACAGAGACCCCUGGCUUGUUAUAUUUGCACAACUGGACAGUUUUCAUGGCAUAGAUUGGAUGGACUCUGUCAGUGACAGGAGGCAAUGUCCCUCCUGAAGGAGGGGAAGGGAGUCUCUUCACUAGCAAAUACUCCAGCCAUUGGGGAAAAAAAAAAGAUCCUGUGAUUCCAACCAUGGAACUGCUACUCAAAACAACUGCAAGAAAGAGGAAGUAGAGACCACGCGAGGUAUUUCCGUGUAAGACUGUUCCACCUUGAGAAAAGAAGCAAAAUGUGGAAAUGGGUCCUUGGCUGGAGAAUGGAUUAAAGAGUCUUUGGUCUCUUUCUGAAUUGUGCUACUUAAUUUAUCAUCACCACCAUCAUCAUCAUCUUUGUUGUCAUCAUCUCCAUCACCCGUGCUUCCUACAUGCCAGAAGUGUUGUGUUCCCUGGUUGAUCUCAUUUAAUUCUUCUGACAGCAAUAUGAGGCCUUGGCAGCUAUGCAGAGCAUUGCAGUGAGAAGCUGCUGUCUUGGGGGAGCUUUACUGCUUUUGGAGAUUUAAUACUGAUCUUGAACUUGAGUUGCACCUGGAAGUGCCCCAUUUGAACACAGUUGUUCAGGAGGAGGGCUGCGUGGGCUUAGUCCUCCAAUCUAGGCACUAUUCCAACUCAAAGCUAAGUGCCUGGGUCUCUGGGUGGAGAUGGGGGUUGUGAACUGGUUGCUUACCCAGUUGUCAUCUCGUUACACUCAGGCACCCGUCCAUCCUGAAUCUCAACUCUUUUAACUGAGGUUAGAGUGUGAGGUUCUGUGGGGUUUAACUCCUCCUUCCUUCACCCGUGGCCACUCCAGCACUCUGGGAGGGGAACAAAGUGGGCAGGCCGUCUUGAGUUUCUUCUAGUGCCACAAAAGCCAACUUCGAUGUUCGAGGCAGAGUAACGGCCAUGGACAAGCACUGGGAAAUCCCUUAGACCCUAUAUCGCAGCUUCCCACACAGUGAACCCAGGGAGACCUGGCCUGACCUUCUAGCAAGAAGAAUUUUAGGCAGAGAGAACUGCAUUCCGAAUUGCAGUUUUAAGAGUCUGGCCUUGAUGUCUAGACACUCACUGUUCACGGUGUUAACCCCAAACUGCCCAUUCCUUCCAUCCUGCCUCCCUACUGCUGAUUCCAGCUUAUCUCUCCAACCUCAGCUCUCCCCAAGUCCUAAAAACCUACACUUAUUCAUUUGCUUCUCUCCAUAUAUUUUAAACUCUACUACCAGACUCCCCUUUGGAUAGGAGGCUCCAUCAAAAAUGCUAACAUUCACCAAGCAUUUACUAUUUACUAGGCUAAGUGCUGUAUAUGAAAUAUAUCAUUUAAAUCUCAUAAUGAUCCCAUGAGGUAGCUAAGGUUCCUGGCUCCAUUUCACAAGUAAAGAAACUAGGGCUUAAGAGGUUAAAUGUCUUGUCCAAGAUCAACUAGCUGGUAGUGGUGGAAUUUGGGUUGGUACCCAGUACCUCUGACUCUAGAGUGAUAAUGCCUCUUCCCAUAGGAACCCUCUAGUAAAUAAUAAUCCCCUCCCACUCGGUAUCUCUGGAUUCAAACAGGGAAAGAGAACCACUAUGCACUAUAGACAGUGGGUUUAUUACAAAUCUUAGACCUCACCUAAUUACAGGAGGAACAGAGAACAUGAAGGUAUAGGUGGGGAGUUGAAGGAUCAAUGGCAGAGUCAGUGACACCGCUGAGCACAUCCCACAGCAGGAGUGAAGCCAUAAAGGAAAGCUUGUGGGAGGUCCGAGCCUCUGGUGAGGGGCCUAGACCCCAUGCUGCAGUUGGUCAGCAGGGUCAGGAGGUGGGAGAAGAGCAGACUGUGGAGCUGGUGCCAUCAUGGACCAACUGGAAUCUGUAGCACUUCUUCAUUUGUCACCACGUUUAAUUACAGUGACCUUCAGAGGUCAUAAUGCUGCCUCACUUCAACUUUCUAAAGCUCAUGCACUUUGGUGCAACUCUAACCCAAAACCAAAACGAGAAGGGAGUUCUGGGAAGCACACUUCUGGGUUAACCAAGCUGACCGUGCAAACCACCCCGUGUGGCAAAUCAUGCAAACCUCUUCCCGUGCAUUACCCUCAAAAGCAGCUGGUGCACCCAUCCGUGGGAGGGCCCAGACGUCACCCCGGAGUCUGCAAGUGCUAAAAACGCUCAUCCGAUUCAAUCUUGCAUUGCCUUCAGUUGUAAUUCAGAGACUUAGUAUAUGACUAAUGCUCAUUUACUUUCUUUUUCUUAUGUCAGAAGAUUAGAGUUUAUCAUUUCAGUUUUGACCACUGGUCUAAAAUGUAAAAGAGAACCAACAAGUUAACUUAAAAAAACCCCAAACCUCUUGGAGUUCCUGCUGUGGCUCAGCGGAAAUGAAUCUGACUGGUAUCUAUUAGGACGCAGAUUCAAUUCCUGGCCUUGCUCAGUGGGUUAAGGAUACUGUGUUGCCAUGAGCUGUGGUGUAGGUUACAGAAGCGGCUCGGAUCUGCUGUUUCUGUGGCUGUGGCAUGUAGGCCCACAGCUAUAGCUCUGAUUCAACCCCUAGCCUGGGAACCUCCAUAUGCUGCGGGUGUGGCCCCAAAGUGAAAAAAACAAAACUCUUUAUAGACAGGCGAGGUGAUGAAUUUUUCAAGCAUUAGAGUGUAGAAGACAAUUAGCCCUGGGUCUGGAUUCCAUUUAAAACAAA
Molecule: long non-coding RNA, 3090 nt
Filed under: Sus scrofa (pig)
Lineage: Eukaryota; Metazoa; Chordata; Mammalia; Artiodactyla; Suidae
Description: lncRNA (ENSSSCG00065004494.1)
Source: RNAcentral